GCCAGCAGCCAUAUCACCCUGCAACUCACAACUGGCAACCCACUGAAGCUCAGCAGGUGUGAGCCUGGUCAGUACCUGGAUGGGAGACCUCCUGGGAAAAACUAAGGUUGCUGCUUGAA
Ribosomal RNA from Lepisosteus oculatus (spotted gar), 119 nucleotides. The record is from Ensembl. Lineage: Eukaryota; Metazoa; Chordata; Actinopteri; Semionotiformes; Lepisosteidae.